AUGCAAGAUCAGGUUGCCCUGGACCUGGACGGCUUCCCGCUCGACCAUGUGUUCCCGGAGGACUACGACCUCGAGGAAGAGGAUGAGUUGGACAUUGACGGGGAGCCUUUAUUCGAGGACGAGCUCGCCAACCCAGCCGCCGGGGCAAAGCCGAAGCGCAAGAGAAAGCGGACGAAGGCAUGCAUGACAUUUGAGGACACGAUCCUGUGUGAGUGUUGGAGGGACAUUGGGCAAGACCCCAAGGUCAGCACCGAACAAAAGGCAUCGACCUUUUGGAUUUUUGUCCCUCGUGAGUUCCAUGAGCGUAAGAAGUUUGCGCCGUACCAAAUGCAUAGCACGCACGGCUGGGUGUCCAUUUCUAAGCGAUGGAAGGUGAUACAACAAUAG
Molecule: ribosomal RNA, 387 nt
Filed under: Triticum aestivum (bread wheat)
Lineage: Eukaryota; Viridiplantae; Streptophyta; Magnoliopsida; Poales; Poaceae
Description: partial small subunit ribosomal RNA
Source: RNAcentral